GGCCAGUUAGCUCAGUGGGUCGAGCAUGGUGCUGAUAACACCAAGGUCACGGGUUCGAUUCCCGCUCGGUCCC
This 73-nucleotide transfer RNA is filed under the name Apaloderma vittatum (bar-tailed trogon). It matches the Rfam family "tRNA". From Rfam's summary of the family: Transfer RNA (tRNA) molecules are approximately 80 nucleotides in length. Lineage: Eukaryota; Metazoa; Chordata; Aves; Trogoniformes; Trogonidae. The record is from Rfam by way of RNAcentral.